This 492-nucleotide ribosomal RNA is filed under the name uncultured bacterium. Its description in RNAcentral is "partial 16S ribosomal RNA". It matches the Rfam family "Bacterial small subunit ribosomal RNA", at positions 29 to 507 of the family's 1533-position model. The record is from RNAcentral.
AGUGAACGCUGGCGGUAGGCCUAACACAUGCAAGUCGAACGGCAGCACAGUAAGAGCUUGCUCUUACGGGUGGCGAGUGGCGGACGGGUGAGGAAUACAUCGGAAUCUACUUUUUCGUGGGGGAUAACGUAGGGAAACUUACGCUAAUACCGCAUACGACCUACGGGUGAAAGCAGGGGAUCUUCGGACCUUGCGCGAUUGAAUGAGCCGAUGUCGGAUUAGCUAGUUGGCGGGGUAAAGGCCCACCAAGGCGACGAUCCGUAGCUGGUCUGAGAGGAUGAUCAGCCACACUGGAACUGAGACAAGGUCCAGACUCCUACGGGAGGCAGCAGUGGGGAAGAUUGGACAAAGGGCGCAAGCCUGAUCCAGCCAUACCGCGUGGGUGAAGAAGGCCUUCGGGUUGUAAAGCCCUUUUGUUGGGAAAGAAAAGCAGCAGGUUAAUACCCCGCUGUUCUGACGGUACCCAAAGAAUAAGCACCGGCUAACUUCGUG